Molecule: ribosomal RNA, 213 nt
Filed under: uncultured bacterium
Lineage: Bacteria
Description: partial 16S ribosomal RNA
Rfam family: Bacterial small subunit ribosomal RNA
Source: RNAcentral
UACAGAGGUCUCAAGCGUUUGUUCGGAUUCAUUGGGCGUAAAGGGUGCGUAGGCGGCGCGGUAAGUCGGGUGUGAAAUCUCGGGCUUAACUCCGAAACUGCAUUCGAUACUGCCGUGCUUUGAGGACUGGAGAGGAGACUGGAAUUUACGGUGUAGCGGUGAAAUGCGUAGAUAUCGUAAGGAAGACCAGUGGCGAAGGCGGGUCUCUGGACA